CUAGGAUUAGAUACCCUAUUAUUUAAAAUGUAAAAACUAAAGUAUUAAUAGAUAUGAACUUUAAACUUAAAAAAUUUGGCGGUAUUUUAGUCUAUUCAGAGGAACCUGUUUUGUAAUCGAUAUUCCACGUUGAACCUUACUUUAAUUUAUAUAUUAGUUUAUAUACCGUCGUUAUAAAAAAAUUUUAUAAGAAUAAUAAUUUUUUAAAUUAUAUAUCAGAUCAAGGUGUAGCUUAUAUUAAAGAAAAUAAUGGGUUACAAUAAAUUUAUUUAUAUGAAUAUAAAAAUGAAAAAUUUAUUGAAAGAGGAUUUGAAAGUAAAAUUAUAAAGAUUAAUAAUUUGAUUUUAGCUCUAAAAUAUGUACAUAUCGCCCGUCACUCUUAUUAUUAAAAUAAGAUAAG
Molecule: ribosomal RNA, 400 nt
Filed under: Melaloncha hirtipecta
Lineage: Eukaryota; Metazoa; Arthropoda; Insecta; Diptera; Phoridae
Description: partial 12S ribosomal RNA
Source: RNAcentral